AGCCUCCUGGUGCUUCGGAGCUCAUUAACUGUUUAAUAAUUGUAAACAAAGCCGCCAAAGAUUGAGAAAAGAUGGACAGGUUUGUAAGUACUUGCGUAAGUGCUUUCGUGAAUCUGGCCCCUUGUUAUUAAUUGUUAUAGUGAUAUAUAGAUAUUGUCCUUGAGGUAUUAUCCACGGGGUCAUUGACUGUAUCUAAGAGUAGAGGUGAACACAGUGGCUGUGCUCCACGGGGUCAUUGACUGUAUCUAAGAGUAGAGGUGAACACAGUGGCUGUGCUCCACGGGGUCAUUGACUGUAUCUAAGAGUAGAGGUGAACACAGUGGCUGUGCUCCACGGGGUCAUUGACUGUAUCUAAGAGUAGAGGUGAACACAGUGGCUGUGCGGUGAGUGUUGCCCUCAUCACUUCCAAAAUCCUUGGACAUCAUAAUAAAUUUUUUGUUUCAAGUAACAUGUGCAUCAUAGAUUCUUGGAUGUACAGUUAAUGAACACACAUGCACACACAAUAUAUAUAUACAUAAAAUGAAGACAAUUAAAUACAUGGAUAUGCAUGCAUAUAUAUAUAAAAAAAUACACACAGUAUACAUACAGAUUUAGUUUUAGUUAAUACUUUAUCCCAAGUACUAGAUGAAGCCCUUUUGUUCAAUAUUCAGAAAUGCACAAUACGCAUCACUGAUGGUAGUUUUUAUUUAUUUAUUUUUUUUUUUAUUUUAAUUUAUCAGGUGAGCAAAAUUUGUCACCACUGUUAACUCACUUUUUUUUUUUUAAAUAUCUAGUUGCAUAUCAUUCCAUGGCAACACCACUCUUACUGCAAGCUGUGGUGAUGGCAGAUUCCCCCCCCCCCCUCAGAUGACCCACUUAGAGUAGUGUGAAACCGAUGACGCUUAUAUUAAAACAAUUUUUAGGUGUUUCGUGUAAUGCUCCUUAUCUCCAGGUAUAAACAGGGCAGAAAUUUGCUGAAGGUAACUGGCAAAGUAUUCAGGAUUGAUUUUAUGCAGUUGUUACAGCAUUCAUAGUUUUGUGGUCAUGUUUGCCAGUUGCCGGUAUAUUUAGAGCCUAUUUAACCUGCUAUCUGGUGGAAUGUAAUCAAACCAAAGACUUGUAUACAUCAGAGAAACAUUUCAUCAGGAGCAUAAUUUGGAUUUUGGCCUCUCCCUAUACAUAUUGGAAGAGGUUCAAAAUUUGUAAUCAUUCCAUAUGUUGUGUACAUCAACGAUAGCAGUGUACUCACAGUUCUCCCAUCUCUGCGUGUAUGUGGUCAAUACGUGCACUAGUCUCUCCUGUGUUUGUGUGUAUGCCAGUUGUGCACAUUCUUGUUUUAUUAUUAAAAUCUGUGUAAAACAAGUACUUGUACAUACUUCAGCAUAGGUAUGGCAACUUUUUGUCUUGCAUUCAGAUUCUACGAGCAUAGCUAGAUUUCUCUGUUGUCAUGCAGGGAAUAUGCAUCUUACCUGAAAUCUAAUUAACUCUUCUGGAUUAUUAUAUAUCUCCUUUAGACCAGGAAUCUAAUAAUCUUCUGGUUUUUUCGUGUGUCAUCAAUGUCUGUUUUUGUUAUGGUUGUAAUUGUGAUAAAACAUCGGUUUCUAUUUUGCCUUGUUAUUGAAAAUAGUCCAAAUUUCUUAUGUAUUAUGUGAAGAGAUUUACAGCCUUUAAUGCUGUUACUGUUGAUAAUAGUAAGUUGCCAGGCAUGUAUUAUAACUGAUUCCCAAGAAAAAUGCAGCAAUUUAAUGUUAUAGCCAUUCAAGCUAUCAUAAUGAUUAAGAAUUUGGACUUAAGUGUCUUAGAAUAGAUGUCAUCAAAUAAAGUUGACUGUGUCCUCAUGAAAAUAAUAUAGCUUAAGACUUUAUUUAUCAAAUAAAUGACCUGCAAUAUUAAAAACAGUUGUUUUAGAUCAAUUGAUGUAUAACCUUAUUGUUAUAAAGCUCAUUGUAAUGCUGUUAGUUUAGCCUUUUAAUCAGUGUAUAGUUCAUUAAAGAUCCACUGGC
Procambarus clarkii (red swamp crayfish) is the source of this 1982-nucleotide non-coding RNA. The record is from RefSeq and is a predicted model, not a curated record. NCBI's taxonomy places the organism in Eukaryota, Metazoa, Arthropoda, Malacostraca, Decapoda, Cambaridae.